UUAUCGUUUAUUUGAUAGUACCUUACUACUUGGAUAACCGUGGUAAUUCUAGAGCUAAUACAUGCUAAAAACCCUGACUUCGGAAAGGGUGUAUUUAUUAGAUAAAAAACCAAUGCCCUCCGGGGCUCUUUGGUGAUUCAUGAUAACUUAACGGAUCGCAUGGCCUUGCGCCGGCGACGGUUCAUUCAAAUUUCUGCCCUAUCAACUUUCGAUGGUAAGGUAUUGGCUUACCAUGGUUUCAACGGGUAACGGGGAAUUAGGGUUCGAUUCCGGAGAGGGAGCCUGAGAAACGGCUACCACAUCCAAGGAAGGCAGCAGGCGCGCAAAUUACCCAAUCCCGACACGGGGAGGUAGUGACAAUAAAUACUGAUACAGGGCUCUUUUGGGUCUUGUAAUCGGAAUGAGUACAAUUUAAACCUCUUAACGAGGAACAAUUGGAGGGCAAGUCUGGUGCCAGCAGCCGCGGUAAUUCCAGCUCCAAUAGCGUAUAUUAAAGUUGUUGCAGUUAAAAAGCUCGUAGUUGAAUCUUGGGCCUGGCUGGCCGGUCCGCCUCACCGCGUGUACUGGUCUGGCCGGGCCUUUCCUUCUGGAGAACCUCAUGCCCUUCAUUGGGUGUGUUGGGGAACCAGGACUUUUACUUUGAAAAAAUUAGAGUGUUCAAAGCAGGCCUUUGCUCGAAUACGUUAGCAUGGAAUAAUAGAAUAGGACGUGCGGUCCUAUUUUGUUGGUUUCUAGGACCGCCGUAAUGAUUAAUAGGGAUAGUCGGGGGCAUCAGUAUUCAAUUGUCAGAGGUGAAAUUCUUGGAUUUAUUGAAGACUAACUACUGCGAAAGCAUUUGCCAAGGAUGUUUUCAUUAAUCAGUGAACGAAAGUUAGGGGAUCGAAGACGAUCAGAUACCGUCGUAGUCUUAACCGUAAACUAUGCCGACUAGGGAUCGGGCGAUGUUUCAAU
RNAcentral lists this ribosomal RNA (951 nucleotides) under Lentistoma bipolare. RNAcentral's name for it is "SSU rRNA". It matches the Rfam family "Eukaryotic small subunit ribosomal RNA", at positions 110 to 1069 of the family's 1831-position model. Lineage: Eukaryota; Fungi; Ascomycota; Dothideomycetes; Pleosporales; Lophiostomataceae. The record is from RNAcentral.